Molecule: ribosomal RNA, 232 nt
Filed under: uncultured bacterium
Lineage: Bacteria
Description: partial 16S ribosomal RNA
Rfam family: Bacterial small subunit ribosomal RNA
Source: RNAcentral
CGGGUGAGUAACACGUAGGUAAUGUGCCUUUGGGUGGGGAAUAACUUAGGGAAACUUAAGCUAAUACCGCAUAAUGCAGCGGCUCCUUAUGGAGACAGUUGUUAAAGAUUUAUCGCCUAAAGAGCAGCCUGCGGCAGAUUAGCUAGUUGGUAAGGUAAUGGCUUACAAAGGCUACGAUCUGUAACCGACCUGAGAGGGUGGUCGGUCACACUGACACUGAAUAACGGGUCAG